AUUGAACCUAGUCAUGGUUGACCAAGCUCUCACCACCCAUUUUCCAUCCCUACCUCCCUCUUGCUCCCAUUUUCUUUCUUUUUAUUUCUUUUCUUAUCCAUUUUGCAAAAUAACAACCACCCUUUCUUUUAAAUUUUGUUCCUUUCCUCUAUUACGAACGAACCCUUCACCACCGACCACCGCACCUCGUACCCACCGCAGCUUCUCUC
Molecule: long non-coding RNA, 209 nt
Filed under: Gossypium raimondii (Peruvian cotton)
Lineage: Eukaryota; Viridiplantae; Streptophyta; Magnoliopsida; Malvales; Malvaceae
Description: long non-coding RNA (GRAI_LNC010470)
Source: RNAcentral